Corvus hawaiiensis (hawaiian crow) is the source of this 3883-nucleotide long non-coding RNA. RefSeq lists it as uncharacterized. NCBI's taxonomy places the organism in Eukaryota, Metazoa, Chordata, Aves, Passeriformes, Corvidae. The transcript has 3 exons. The record is from RefSeq and is a predicted model, not a curated record.
UGUGAGAGGCGGAGACUUUUAAAAACAUUGCUAAAGGUUCGAAGAACUGGAUUUCGUGAGGUAAAUCUUACCCUCUUCAAUCACUAGUAUCUGCUUGAGACAAGCAAAACAUUGGCAUUCACGUGCCCUCUUUAAAAAAAUCCACGACCUUAACAAACACUGACGUUUUACACAACAAAAUACUUAAAAUAAUUUUUUUACUUUCCAUUUUGAAACCUUGACGUAUUAUCAUAACCAGUUUGAGACUGCUGGUCAUUACAUACUAACACAAGACCUUCUUUUUUCCACAUCAGUUAUCUAAAUGAUUCUCCUUCCCAUUUUUCUUAAGAACCUGCUUAAACCUUGAAAACAUUAAAAAUACCUCAUGGUACUUCUUAUUUCUACAUUAUUUUACGAUUUCACUGUCUUUUGUUACUAAUGCAUCGCUGACAUUAUUUAUGUUCAAAGAUUUUUAUCUUCAAGAGUUGGUUAUCCUGUUCCUGCUGCCUAUACCUUACUGAAAUUGCAUUUUUGUCUAAGAUACAGUAACUUACAUAUCAAUGACCUGUCACGUCAUAAAUACAGGACGGAAACAGCAUGAGCAGGAAGGAUGUAAGAUCCAUGGAAGGACGGCAACAAAGUUUUUGGGCGAAGCCACAGUAACACUACGAAAAGUAGUCUGUCACUGUCUCUAGGGCAGUGCUGGCGGCUGAAGGAGACGGCUGCGGACAGACAGACAGACACGCUGCUCACGGUUCCUGCCUCGGGGAGGGUGGCUCUGCCGAGGCGGAGCAGUCUGCCUGGACUUCCAUGGGCUGCAUGGGUCUGAUCUGCAGGCAGCUGCUGAAACCAUAAUGCGUAAUGUCAAAAAGGUUUUCCUAGAUUGCUGUAAACAUGUUCUGCUUUGCUAUGCUAAAGCAUUUAAUCACAAAAAUUACCUCUUUUAGGGAAUUCUGAAAGCAAAACGUGAAAGAGGAAAAAAAAAGUUAGUCUCGUGAUUUAUUUUGAAUUGUCUUAUUAGUAGAUCUCAACUCAAUUUAAAAAAAAAGGAGAGAGGGAAUGUAAAAAUAGGAUGUGAUUAAGUGGAAUCAGAAGAAAGGGGAAAUUAGGUUAAAAAAAUGGAAGAGAAAAUAGACUCAGUAGGGAUGUACAGCACAACGGCCACCUUCUGGGUGACUACUGUUGGCUUGGAUCUUUAAAGCAGAAAAAAUGAAAGGACAUUCAGUCUAAACGAGAUCUCUCUGAUAGUUAAUUCUGUAUGUAUGAGGCAGGAAAUAGUUCUGAAAUGCAGCAAUUUCCUCCCUAGAAAAGCAACUUACUUUGCAAAUAUUAAAGUCAAUAGUGCUUCAUGUCUCUGCCCAAAAGCAUUUAGCCUGAAGUGGAUGAUGGCAAUUUUGAUUGGGGAAAUAAAUUAUUUCAGAUAAAAUGAUCUACAUGAAAGAUAACAAAAGAACCCUACUCUGAAGUACUUGGCCAGUAGUAAGGGGUUUUGAUAUUCAUGUUACUCUGCCUCAGCAGACAAAUACUGAUUUUUCGGUUUAUUUACCUGAGCUGUUUGUAACUGCACAGACUGUAGAGGUGAAGUUCCAUUACUUACCACAAAAGGCAGUUAUGUAGUACAGCUUUUGGUGCUGCCUAAAGCAUCAAUAAUGAUAAGGUUUAGUGCCAUUUGUACAUCUGUUCUAGGAAUUCUUGGAAAAAGCAUGGGAACUUGGUUUAAAUAUGAAAUUGUAAGUUCAUGUUGACUUCUUAGCAUAUUAAAUAUAAUAUACUAUUUCUUUUUUUAUUAUUCUUCCACCCUCUUUACUUCAUUACCUGUGUCACUUGUUAUAUCUUUAAACUAGAAGCUGUUGUGAAUUGAAACCAUAUUUACAUAGUACUUGUUGGAGCACCUUAUUCUUUACAGGCAACCCUUGGUGCUACCUCAACAAUGCCACAGCACCAGCUUAGAUUUGUAAACCUGAUUUUAUUUAAUGAUUUCAUUUAUUUAGACCUUUUAUCUGUUGGAAAAGUUGGUUUGUCUGAGUGAGAAGAAUGAGCAAGAGAAUAAUCCUUCUGUGUCCAUGGGAUAGUGCAGUUGAAAUCUCCUGCUUUUCCUGCCAUCCUCAGUCCUAUUUCCCAAUCACACAAAUAUUAAACUUCGGAGAUGUUCAUCUGAUGCUGGGGAUAGAUUUAUUUUAAUGGUAGUAAUCUGUGAAUGACUGAAUUUAAAAUGAAUUUAUAUUGUAAUGGUUCUACGUUUUUUCAGAAUGUGUUUUGCUCCAUAACAGAGGCAGAUGUGUGAAAGCCUGGGGGCAGGCACAGAAUUUUAAUUGUGAUAAAGAGACAGUAGUCAUAGAAGAUUUUCCUGAGUGAUGCUCUGAGCAUUCUGAAACUCUUCCUAUUUCCUGGCAAUUUCUUGUUUAGAAUCUACAUUCUACAGGCAGGUUAUUAGCUGAUUGCAAAGUUUGAAAAGCCGCUUUGCAGGUACAAAAAUGAACAUGUUCCCAAGAAGACCGUCUGUUCUAAUCCAGCUAAUAGCUAUUAGUAUAAUUAUACACCAGACACAGUCCACAUCUAAAACAAGCAGUUAGCACGCAGACACAUGGAAUACCUUCCUCAUGUGUCAUGUUUUAAAUCAGAUCUCUCUGUUGUUAAAAUCUAUUGCUCAUGACUCUGAAGUAUUUUCCCUUCUCUAUCUUAUUUCCAGUAUUGCUUGUUUUCAAAUGUCAGAAUUACUAAAUUGUAGCUACUGAUACAAACUGAUACUGGUUUUAUAUCUGGCAAUCGAAUGGUGAAAUACUACUGCUGUUUUCUUAAGCUCAGUGUCAGGUGGCCAAUACCUUUUUCAGAUGAGUCAGUACAGCUGGUUUUAGAUGCUCCAGGAGCCCAAUGGAGACAACAAAUACUCUGGUGCAGGAAACCUGACAAGUUCCAGUCCUGGUUCUGAUCUGGAUGCCAGUUGUUUCUCAGACUACAAGAGAAAAAGAAGUGUCCAGUCACUUUAUGAUGGUUCUGGAAGGAACAGCUCAGGGAGCACUCAGAGCAUGUGAAGUACUUUGCUCAAACACCAAGGAGCAACAGCCUGACCUCUGUGUUUUAAAUGGGCUUCGUACCAAACUGAGCGGCUGUCUGAGUUAAAAACAUGGGACAGCAGGUCCCCUUCACCCUCCCUGACUGACCUGACUGCAUGACAGGUGACAUUUGCUGAUUGGCUGUGGAUAGAGAAGGAUGGGAUUUGAAUCUCUCUCGUUCCAGUGUUGAUACUGGUGUAAUAAAGUGACUUUGAUUCCAUCCAUCCUGCAGAGUGGAAAAAAGAAAAAUACAUCAGAAUAAAUUGCAAGUUAUAAAUAAAUGAGGAGUUUUUGUGGCACCAUUUUCCAGUGUAAGCUAAUUUUAUAAUUUACCUUUUUGUAAAUGCUCCGGAGGUCUCGGUACUGCCACAGCGUGUUCAGUACCUGGGCUGCCGCCUUGACAACCUUCAGUGAGGACCUGAGGGAGUGAAGAAUAUGGCAAUGUUAGAAGCCACUGAAUUCCACUUCAAAAGAACAGUGUUCCUGAGCUUCGUAACAGCCUGAACCUGCUGCUGUGAGGCAAACCAGACCCUGCAUCACCAGCGUGAGCACAGCCAAACCAGCAGCCUCAGCACGAGAUGGGGCACAACCUGAUCAACCUGACAAUCGCUUCCCUUUCCAGUCUGGAAUGUUCUCUCCAGGUAACCCACAUGAGGAAUACAGAGAAAAUAGUUGAAAUAGCGACUUGUCAGUGUCAGCAAAAAUUAAAAAUCAUUUAAAGAAACAUUCUAUUUGAUGCAUUUCAUAAAAAUGGAGACUUCAGACUUUAAACCACAGUACAAAACCCCUAACUGAAGGAAAAGAAUAAGAAAUAAAAGCAAGCUGCUAUUAAAAGCCUCCAGACAUCCUCA